RNAcentral lists this ribosomal RNA (253 nucleotides) under uncultured bacterium. Its description in RNAcentral is "partial 16S ribosomal RNA". It matches the Rfam family "Bacterial small subunit ribosomal RNA", at positions 524 to 776 of the family's 1533-position model. The record is from RNAcentral.
UACGUAGGUGGCAAGCGUUGUCCGGAUUUACUGGGCGUAAAGGGCGUGCAGGCGGUUCGUUAAGUUCGAGGUGAAAGCUCCCGGCUCAACUGGGAGAGGUCCUCGGAUACUGGCGGACUUGAGGGAGGCAGAGGAAAGUGGAAUUCCCGGUGUAGUGGUGAUAUGCGUAGAUAUCGGGAGGAACACCAGUGGCGAAGGCGGCUUUCUGGGCCUUACCUGACGCUGAGACGCGAAAGCGUGGGGAGCGAACCGG